Molecule: ribosomal RNA, 468 nt
Filed under: uncultured bacterium
Lineage: Bacteria
Description: partial 16S ribosomal RNA
Rfam family: Bacterial small subunit ribosomal RNA
Source: RNAcentral
GACGAACGCUGGCGGCGUGCUUAACACAUGCAAGUCGAACGGAAAGGCCCUGCUUUUGUGGGGUGCUCGAGUGGCGAACGGGUGAGUAACACGUGAGUAACCUGCCCUUGACUUUGGGAUAACUUCAGGAAACUGGGGCUAAUACCGGAUAGGAGCUCCUGCUGCAUGGUGGGGGUUGGAAAGUUUCGGCGGUUGGGGAUGGACUCGCGGCUUAUCAGCUUGUUGGUGGGGUAGUGGCUUACCAAGGCUUUGACGGGUAGCCGGGCUGAGAGGGUGACCGGCCACAUUGGGACUGAGAUACGGCCCAGACUCCUACGGGAGGCAGCAGUGGGGAAUAUUGCACUAUGGGCGGAAGCCUGAUGCAGCAACGCCGCGUGCGGGAUGACGGCCUUCGGGUUGUAAACCGCUUUCGCCUGUGACGAAGCGUGAGUGACGGUAAUGGGUAAAGAAGCACCGGCUAACUACGUG